This 526-nucleotide ribosomal RNA is filed under the name uncultured bacterium. RNAcentral's name for it is "bacterial SSU rRNA". It matches the Rfam family "Bacterial small subunit ribosomal RNA", at positions 767 to 1304 of the family's 1533-position model. The record is from RNAcentral.
AGCAAAUAGAUACCCGGGUAGUCCACGCCGUAAACGAUGGAUACUAGCUGUUCGGAGCAAUCUGAGUGGCUAAAGCGAAAAAAGUGAUAAGUAUCCCACCUGGGGAGUACGCACGCAAGUGUGAAACUCAAAGGAAUUGACGGGGGCCCGCACAAGCGGUGGAGCAUGUGGUUUAAUUCGAUGAUACGCGAGGAACCUUACCAGGGCUUAAAUGUAGAUUGACAGGACUGGAAACAGUUUUUCUUCGGACAAUUUACAAGGUGCUGCAUGGUUGUCGUCAGCUCGUGCCGUGAGGUGUCAGGUUAAGUCCUAUAACGAGCGCAACCCCUGUCGUUAGUUGCCAGCGAGUCAUGUCGGGAACUCUAACGAGACUGCCAGUGUAAACUGUGAGGAAGGUGGGGAUGACGUCAAAUCAUCACGGCCCUUACGUCCUGGGCCACACACGUGCUACAAUGGUAGGUACAGAGAGCAGCCACUGCGCGAGCAGGAGCGAAUCUACAAAACCUAUCUCAGUUCGGAUCGGAGU